Long non-coding RNA from Oncorhynchus tshawytscha (Chinook salmon), 6904 nucleotides. NCBI's taxonomy places the organism in Eukaryota, Metazoa, Chordata, Actinopteri, Salmoniformes, Salmonidae. The record is from Ensembl.
GAAAUUAUCUCCAGAAGCUGAAACCCUUUCAAGCAGCAGCAGACAAUAGACGCCAACCGUGUGUGUGUGUGUGUGUGUGAAACAGACUGCAGAUGCCAGAUAGGCCAUGUGUGUGAGAACUCUGAACUCAAACCAGGUGGGAUAAAUCAAAUCAAAUUUUAUUUGUAAUAUGCGCCGAAUACAACAGGUGUAGGUAGACCUUACCGUGAAAUGCUUACUUACAAGUCCUUAACCAACAAUGCAGUUCAAGAAAUAGAGUUAAGAAAAUAUUUAGUAAAUCAACUAAAGUGAAGAAAAAAAAAGAAAAAUAACACAAGAAUAUUACAAUAACGAGGGGGUACCGGUACCGAGUCAAUGUGUGGGGUUACAGGUUAGUCGAGGUCAUUUGUAAAGGGACUAUGCAUAGCUAAUAAACAGUGAUGAGCAUUAGUGUAAAAACAAAGGGGUUGAAUAGUCCGGGUGGCCAUUUGAUUAAUUGUUUAGCAGUCUUAUGGCUUGGUGGAAGAAGCUUUUAAGGAGCCUUUUGGUUCGAGACUUGGUGCUCCGGUACCGCUUGCCGUGUGGUAGCAGAGAGAACAGUCUAUGACUUGGUUGACUGGAGACAAUUCUUUGGGCCUUCCCCUGACACCGCCUAGUAUAUAGGCCCUGGAUGGCAGGAAGCUUGGCCCCAGUGAUGUACUGGGCCAUACGCAUUACCCCCUGUAGUGCCUCGUGGUCGGAUGCCGAGCAGUUUCAUUACAAGGUGGUGAUACAACCGGUCAGGAUGCUCUCGAUGGUGCAGCUGUAGAACUUUGAGGAUAUGGGGACCCAUGCCAAAUCUUUUCAGUCUCCUGAGGGGGAAAAAGUGUUUUCGUGCCCUCUUCAAAACUGUGUUGGUGUGUUUGGACCAUGAUAGUUUGUUGGUGAACUUGAAAAUCUCGAUCCGCUCCACUACAGCCCUGUCAAUGUUAAUGGGGCCCUGUUUGGCACACCUUUUUCCUGUAGUCCAAGAUCAGCUCUUUUGUCUUGCUCACAUUGAGGGUAGAGGUUGUUGGCCUGGCACCACACUGCCAGGUCUCUGACCUCCUCCCUAUAGGCUGUCUCAUCGUUGUUGAUGAUCACUGUUGUGUCGUCAGCCAACUUAAUGAUGGUGUUGGAGUCAUGUUUGGCCAUGCAGUCGUGGGUGAACAGGGAGUACAGGAGGGGACUCAGCAUGCACCCCUGAGGAGCCCACGUGUUGAGGAUCAGCGUGGCAGAUGUGUUGUUGCCUACCCUCCCCACCUGGGGGCGGCCCGUCAGGAAGUCCAGGAUCCAGUUGCAGAGGGAGGUGUUUAGUCCCAGGGUCCUCAUUUUAGUGAUGAGCUUUGUGGGCACUUUGGUGUUGAACGCUGAGCUGUAGUCAAUGAACAGCAUUCUCACAUAGGUGUUCCUUUUGUCCAGGUGGGAAAUGGCAGUGUGGAGUGCGAUUGAGAUUGCGUCAUCUGUGGAUCUGUUGGGGUGGUAUGCAAAUUGGAGUGCGUCUAGGGUUUCCGGCAUGAUGAUGUUGUCAGACAUGACCAACCUUUCAAAGCACUUCAUGGCUACCAACAUGAGUGCUACGGGCACUCAUUUAGGCAGGUUACCUACAGACUCGGUCAGAGACAGUUUGAAAAUGUCAGUGAAGACACUUGCCAGUUGGUUCGCACAUGCUUUGAGUACACAUCCUGGUAAUCCAUCUGGCCCCGCGGUUUUGAGAAUGUUGACCUGUUUAAAGGUCUUGCUCACAUCGGCUAACGAGAGCAUGAUCACACUCCGGAACAGCUGGUGCUCUCAUGCAUGCUUCAGUGUUGCUUGCCUCAGAGUGAGUAUACAAUGUAUUUAGCCCGUCUGGUAUGCUCUCGUCACUGGGCAGCUCACAGCUGGGUUUCCUUCUGUAUCCUGUAAUAUACCACUACUUCUGUCAUUUACCAUCUCUGUUUUAGAACCAUUUUCACAUUAGCUAUGGGUGCUAUAAAGCUGUGUGAUUUUUAAAUGAUAAACCUCUUCAUUUUAUUGAUGAUAUUUAAUAAUCCUUAGAGCAGAAACACAGGGCAGAGUCAGACAUGUAACUGAGGCAUGAAGGCAGAAACACAGGGCAGAGUCAGACAUGUAACUGAGGCAUGAAGUCAGAAACACAGGGCAGAGUCUGACAUGCAACAGGCCGAAAUGUAAUACGUCUUAAUAUUAUUCUAUCAUAAAGAAGCAACACCAUUCAUUUGUCUUUAGUUAUAUUGUUGCACAGAAAAACAAGAACAUAUGAUAUUAAAGUGAUGCAUAGAAAAUCUAUUUCACUAAAGCAUUAAGCAUCAGCUGUUUUUUCAGGCAUGAUUUCAAAAUACAGGAAAAAUAAAUACUGUCCUCAAAAUGAAAACCAAGUGGUUAUUAAUACAAUCUAACAUAAAAAACACAAUAGAAGUUUGUUAUCAUGUCAUCUACAAUUUUCUCUAUACUGAAAAUCAGUUAUACCGUACAUUCAAAAACAUGAAUACUUUUUGUAAAUUCUGUUCAAAAAUACAAAAUCUGUGAUUAUUGAUGUAGUCUAGAACAGUAGAAGAACAGUUUUCAUUGUCACAGAAAGACUUAAGAGACAACACUAAUAUACACAUACCGUAUGUGUCGUCUUAAUGCCCCCAUAACAGGAAACUCUAUUUACUCAGCUGCCUGUAAAUGCAUUCAGCUAUGAAGAAACACAACAAAACAACGACUCAUUUUGGCUCAAAGACCCGAGAAGCUCUGGAUCUAGGGCAAGAUGGCAGUGACGGGAGAGGAAAAAGUGUUGACAUAACUGGUUCUAGAAUAUUUACAAGACAUUGUCUUCAAACAUUCAGAAAUCGACGCAGUAGUAAAAUCAUGACGUCAUCACCAUGGCACCAUAGUGUAGUGGCUGACGCACAGACUUCUGUGUCGUGAUUUCGCGAUGGGUUGGCAUGGCAGGGAUCGGAGUAGAAUAUGGACAAACUGUAUGGGAAUACAUAGUCCACCCCUGCAAUAUGGGUGAACACUAGCAUGUUGAUAUCUGGCAUUGUCCUACAUCAGAUAGUGUGUCGAUUCCACCUGCGGUUGAGGGACGAGCGACGUAGGAGUGACGCCACCUGACGUAAGUCAAUGGAUAUCUGGAGCGAGUCAAAAGAACAUAGGCUCAUUGAAUUAGGAAUGUUGAACUGUACUGCACUUAAACAGAGUUGGCACGUCUACAAUAAGUAUUGCCAGUAACACUAGUGGAUUGUGCUAUUGGCUGUGCGAUUCUGGGGCCUGAGCAGAGCUGUGUAAUUGGGUCAGGGAGGAGGAGGAGAAAGGUGUGAUGUAAAUAAUUGUUGUAAGCAAACGUCGGCUCCGGUGGCUGCCAGGUCAGUCCCAGAAGAGGUCGUUAGAGAAACAUACAUGUGUAAGCUGAUCUGUGAGCUGUGAGAAAUCCCGGCCCGGCACUCUGUUCUGCUGUUAUGGCUGACACUACUUUAGCAUUACAGAGCAGGCCAUGCAGCAGGCCGUGUAGCAGGCAAUGUAGACCCAACAUUCACCUAGAGAGCCACAGGGCUACAGGAAACAGGCCUGCCCUGAAUAGACACUAUUUACACACAUCUAGACGUGGCACAGGAGCUGGGCUAUAACACAGCCACUUACUUGACACAGUCAUACCUCACAUGGUAAUUAAUGGUAGAGUGGUAGCACUCUAAUGGUAGAGUGCUGGCUAACGCUUUAGCUAUUCCAGGCUCCGUGCUUUGUUUGUCUCUAGGUCUCUAUGACCACUUAGAGGGUGUAGAGUAUUACAGGGUUUCUCUGGUCUCUAUGACCACUGAGGAGGUGUAGAGUAUUACAGGGUUUCUCUGGUCUCUAUGACCACUGAGGGGGUGUAGAGUAUUACAGGGUUUCUCUGGUCUGAGUGUACUCUGAGUGUGCCUAAUACACUGACCACUGAGUGUGCCUAAUACACUGACCACUGAGUGUACCUAAUACACUGACCACUGUGUGUACCUAAUACACUGACCACUGUGUGUACCUAAUACACUGACCACUGUGUGUACCUAAUACACUGACCACUGUGUGUACCUAAUACACUGACCACUGUGUGUACCUAAUACACUGACCACUGUGUGUACCUAAUACACUGACCACUGUGUGUACCUAAUACACUGACCAGUGUGUACCUAAUAAACUGACCACUGUGUGUACCUAAUAAACUGACCACUGAGUGCACAUCCUCUACACUUACAAAUCAUUCAAAAUGACUUAACUGGCUGCAUCGUCCACAGAAACAGUUAAUUCAUUAUGACAGCUGGUGCUGGUUCGGAACCCACAAGGAAAUCUCCAGUCCAAUUCUUAGAUUUUGUCAGCAGUUUGUGAGUGCAUUGUUUAAUUUGUUCAGAUUCUAGAACACAUUGCUCAUUCAGGCAAGUCAAUGGGUUCAUUGGAAAGCUGAGUGGAGCUGAAGGGUAGGACUAAAAAUAACAAGAUAAACUAAAGUAAAAUGUAUUUACAGUAGGUUCAGAAGUUUGGUGAAACAGCACAGUUGGCAAGUAUAUGGCAAAUAGAAAUACAAUCUGGGUGGUCUUCAGAGAUAAAUGGGAGGGGUUGAGAAUAGCUUAAGGAUGGGACUAAAAACAAACAAAAGAUUACUAUUGUAAAAUACAUUACAUCCGUAAAAUGUAUAAAAAUAACCUCACAAUCAACGUCAACAAAACAAAGGAGAUGAUCGUGGACUUCAGGAAACAGCAGAGGGAGCACCCCCCUAUCCACAUCGACGGGACAGUAGUGGAGAGGGUAGUAAAGUUAAGACAGAUAGACAGACAGGCAGGCAGCGCCUCUUCAACCUCAGGAGGCUGAAGAAAUUUGACUUGUCACCAAAAGCACUCACAAACUUUUACAGAUGCACAAUCGAGAGCAUCCUGUCGAGCUGUAUCACCGCCUGGUACGGCAACUGCUCCGCCCACAACCGUAAGGCUCUCCAGAGGGUAGUGAGGUCUGCACAACGCAUCGCCGGGGGCAAAUUACCUGCCCUCCAGGACACCUACACCCCCCGAUGUCACAGGAAGGCCAAAAAGAUCAUCAAGGACAACAACCACCCGAGCCACUGCCUGUGCACCCCGCUAUCAUCCAGAAGGUGAGGUCAGUACAGGUGCAUCAAAGCUGGGACAGAGAGACUGAAAAACAGGUUCUAUCUCAAGUCCAUCAGACUGUUAAACAGUCACCACUAACAUAACAGUGCUGCCAACAUACUGACUCAACUCCAGCCACUUUAAUAAUGGAAAAUUAAUGUAAUAAAUGUAUCACUAGCCACUUUAAACAAUGUCACUUAAUAUAAUGUUUACAUACCCUACAUUACUCAUUUCAUAUGCAUAUACUGUACUCUAUACCAUCUACUGCACUUUGCCAUCUUUAUGUAAUACAUGUAUCACUAGCCACUUUAAACAAUGCCACUUUUAUGUUUACAUACCCUACAUUACUCAUCUCAUAUGUGUAUAUACUGUACUCGAUACCAUCUACUGCAUCUUGCCUAUGCCGUUCUGUACCAUCACUCAUCCAUAUAUCUUUAUGUACAUAUUCUUUAUCCCUUUACACUUGUGUGUAUAAGGUAGUUGUUGUGAAAUUGUUAGGUUUCUCCAUUACUCGUUGGUUAUUACUGCAUUGUCGGAACUAGAAGCACAAGCAUUUCGCUACACUCGCAUUAACAUCUGCUAACCAUGUGUAUGUGACAAAUACAAUUUGAUUUGAUUUAGUAUGUACAAGCUGGAAGUAGAAGCCUAAGAGUUGCUGUUCACUAGUUACUCCAAUUAGGGGAGGGAUGGUAGACUCCAGUGUGAUGAGAGAGAAUUCUGCAACCUAUAGGUUUAAUGUAUAGUUAUUAAUGGACAAGUCAGAAAUGUCAACAAUGCUCAUCAUUGUACACACACACACACACACACACACACACACACACACACACACACACACACACACACACACACACACACACACACACACACACAAACAACUAUUUUCUUGAAACAAAAGACAAGAGAAUAAAAAGAUGAUAGCUUUGCCAAUAAACAUGUUUCUCCAUAGAAGAGCGUGUCCUAGAGGGAAACCGUAGUUAUAAAGCCCCCAGCAGUGUGGUCCAUAUCACCCACUGUUGUUCUGAGCCUCUGCUAAGACCUCCAGAGGACUAGUCUGUUCAUUUAUGAACUAUGACAUACAAUGAGCGCCAAACAUAUUGGGACAGUGACACAUUUUCGGGUUGUUUUGGCUCUGUACUCCAGCGCUUUGAAUUUGAAAUGAUACAAUGACUAUGAGAUUAACGUGCAGGUUGUCAGCUUUCAAUUGAGGGUAUUUUCAUCCAUAUCGGAUGAACCGUUUAGAAAUUAUUAAAGUAGUAAAAAGUUAAGCAUUUGGUCCCAACAAGCUUGUGACUCUACCAAUUGGUUAGAUACAUUUUCUGUUAGUUUUGGUUGUGUUUCAGAUAAUUUUGUGCCCAAUAGAAAUGAAUGGUAAAUAAUGUAUUGUGUCAUUUUGGAGUCACUUUUAUUGUAAAUAAGAAUAUAAUAUGUUUCUAAACACAUCUACAUUAAUGUGGAUGUUACCAUGAUUACGGAUAAUCCUGAAUGAAUCGUGAAUAAUGAUGAGUGAGCAAGUCACAGAUGCACAAAUAUCAUACCCCCGCCAAAAAAUGCUAAUCUCCCCUGUAAUUGUAAUGGUGAAAGGUUAGCAUACCUCUUGGAGGUAUGAUAUUGGUGCGUCUAACUUUCUCAAUACUUUUGUAGCUCACUAUAUUACCCCACUGGGUCCUUUUUAAAUGAUGGUAUAUUAAUACAUUAUACUGCUAAAUGACGGUAUAUUAAUACAUUAUACUGCUAAAUGACGGUAUAUUAAUACAUUAUACUGCUAAAUGACGGUUUAUUAAUAAAUUAUACUGCUAAAUGACGGUAUAUUAAUA